Long non-coding RNA from Impatiens glandulifera, 636 nucleotides. RefSeq lists it as uncharacterized. Lineage: Eukaryota; Viridiplantae; Streptophyta; Magnoliopsida; Ericales; Balsaminaceae. The record is from RefSeq and is a predicted model, not a curated record. The transcript has 4 exons.
GUUGUCGUGAUGAUGGAAUUUGCAGUUGAGAAUAUGGGGAUACAUGUCUUUACAACUAAAAUUGGGGAUUUAAAUUAAGCUUCUCUUCAUAUGUUUCAAAAACUGGGAUUCGAAAAAGUUUCCCACAGUCAUGUUUUCAAAGAGAAAUGACGCUUUCAACUGAGUGUGUCUAACACUCAACAAGGAAAGUAGGUUGGACCUGUCUCAAAAUAUACAAUAUCAUCAAAGAAAGUAAGUUGUAUCAUGUCUCAAACUAUUGUUAGUUCAUUAUUCAUAAUUACAUGCAUAUUUCCUAAUUUUAAACUAAUAAUUUUGAAUGAUGUCUUGGAAGCCUAAGAACUGAUGUAUUCAUGAAUGUUAAAAUGGAGGUUGAAGCCUCAAGCUCACUUCAAUCGGACAUGUCUUAUAUAGGAGGAAGAUGAGAAUUCUAAAUUGAAUCUCUGUUGCCAUCAAAUCACAUUACGUCGACAAUUGUUGGAUGCCUUGGUGGUGAAGAUGGUGAGUUUAGUUGUUUUGUUAUCCAAAUUAGACUAUAGGAAAAAUAAACUUGGUUUAGUAAUGAUAGCAUUUUUGCUGUAAACAAAGACGAGCAUGAAUGUUGUUUGGUUUUGGCUAGAGAAAGAAAAGGCACACAAA